UCAGGGCUUCUCUGACCUAGUAGAGAGUGA
RNAcentral lists this non-coding RNA (30 nucleotides) under Homo sapiens (human). Lineage: Eukaryota; Metazoa; Chordata; Mammalia; Primates; Hominidae. The record is from RNAcentral.